This 261-nucleotide ribosomal RNA is filed under the name uncultured bacterium. RNAcentral describes it as "partial 16S ribosomal RNA". It matches the Rfam family "Bacterial small subunit ribosomal RNA", at positions 338 to 596 of the family's 1533-position model. The record is from RNAcentral.
CCUACGGGGCGCAGCAGUGAGGAAUAUUGGUCAAUGGACGAGAGUCUGAACCAGCCAAGUAGCGUGAAGGAUGACUGCCCUAUGGGUUGUAAACUUCUUUUCUAUGGGAAUAAAAUGUUCCACGUGUGGGAUUUUGUAUGUACCAUAUGAAUAAGGAUCGGCUCACUCCGUGCCAGCAGCCGCGGUAAUACGGAUGAUCCGAGCGUUAUCCGGAUUUAUUUGGUUUAAAGGUCGCGUAGUUGGAUUUUUACGUCAGUUGUG